RNAcentral lists this ribosomal RNA (523 nucleotides) under Euastacus dangadi. RNAcentral's name for it is "eukaryotic LSU rRNA". It matches the Rfam family "Eukaryotic large subunit ribosomal RNA", at positions 1103 to 1582 of the family's 3401-position model. Lineage: Eukaryota; Metazoa; Arthropoda; Malacostraca; Decapoda; Parastacidae. The record is from RNAcentral.
CGGCGAUUAAUCUGAGUGUCUAGUGGGCCAUUUUUGGUAAGCAGAACUGGCGCUGUGGGAUGAACCAAACGUCGAGAUAAGGGGCCCAGACGAGUGCUCAUUCAGACCCCAUCGAAAGGUGUUGGUUGCUAUAGACAGCAGGACGGUGGCCAUGGAAGUUGGAACCCGCUAAGGAGUGUGUAACAACUCACCUGCCGAAGCAACUAGCCCUUAAAAUGGUAUGGCGCUGAAGCAUUCUCCCGAUACUCGACCGCCGGGUGGGCUGUCGGCACCGACCUCGUCCCAGAGGCGAUGAUGCCUCGGAGCCCCGGUGAGUAAGAGGGUCGCAGUGGUGAGCGCUGAAGGGAUCCGGCGUGAGCUGGCCUGGAGCCGCCACUGCUGCAGAUCUUGGUGGUAGUAGCAAAUACUCGAGAGAGAGACUCCCUCGAAGACCGAUGUGGAGAAGGGUUCCAUGUGAACAUCAGUUGGACAUGGGUUAGUCGCUCCUAAGCCCAAGGCUAAGGCCUGAUCCCAUGCUAGCGGC